CCUACGGGAGGCAGCAGUGAGGAAUAUUGGUCAAUGGGCGGGAGCCUGAACCAGCCAAGUCGCGUGAGGGAAGACGGUCCUAUGGAUUGUAAACCUCUUUAGGCGGGGAGCAAUGCCGGGCACGCGUGCCCGGAGGGAGAGUACCCGCAGAAUAAGCAUCGGCUAACUCCGUGCCAGCAGCCGCGGUAAUACGGAGGAUGCGAGCGUUAUCCGGAUUUAGUGGGGUUAAAGGGUGCGUAGGCGGAUUUUUAAGUCAGCGGUAAAAUGUACGGGCUCAACCCGGGCCGGCCGUUGAAACUGGGGAUCUUGAGUGGGCGAGAAGUAUGCGGAAUGCGUGGUGUAGCGGUGAAAUGCAUAGAUAUCACGCAGAACCCCGAUUGCGAAGGCAGCAUACCGGCGCCCGACUGACGCUGAGGCACGAAAGCGUGGGGAUCGAACAGGAUUAGAUACCCCUGUAGUC
This 460-nucleotide ribosomal RNA is filed under the name uncultured bacterium. Its description in RNAcentral is "partial 16S ribosomal RNA". It matches the Rfam family "Bacterial small subunit ribosomal RNA", at positions 338 to 795 of the family's 1533-position model. The record is from RNAcentral.